This 1500-nucleotide long non-coding RNA is filed under the name Homo sapiens (human). RNAcentral's name for it is "HSALNT0403607". Lineage: Eukaryota; Metazoa; Chordata; Mammalia; Primates; Hominidae. The record is from RNAcentral.
GUAACAACUUCCCUUUCAAGAGUCCAAGACCUCAAUUCUUUGGAGAAAAAUGGAUGAAGUGGCCUGGCUUCCAGCACCAAUGGCAAUUACCUGGAGGAAUGUCCUUAGGACAACCUGGAGGGAGAUUGAGAGCUUGUAAGUUCCAGGGAUGGAAUCCGAGUGAUCGCUAAGGCAAUUCAUAUAUUUUACCCACCUUAGGAUAACUGGUUUAGGAUUGGACAAACAAUCUCAGCUGCUUCAAUCAGACUCACUUCCUUUCAUUCAGAUGGAAGAUGGGAAAACACAAUGCUAUAGACUUUGGAAUAUUGUAUGGGCUCGUAAUCAGCGUACUGAAUUUCAAGCCAUUCCUUGGCCACUCAAUGGCCACUACUAAAUCACACAACCCACCCAACUGGAGAAUUAAAUCAAAUAUCUGGAGCAAUUUAAUGUGCAUGCAUUCGUGGCCACAAAAAUGAAGAUACAAAUAAGUAGGUGCUGGAUAUUAGACCUUCGUCAGACACAUAGACCAGUGGAACAGAAUAGAGAACCCAGAAAUUAGAUCACUCAUCUUCAACCAUCCAAUCUUCGACAAACCUGACAAAAAGCAAUGGGGAAAGGACUCCCUGUUCAAUAAAUGGUGCUGGGAGAAAUGGCUGGCCAUAUUGUGUCUAGAAUUUAUUCCUUCCAGUGGGUUCUUGGUCUCGCUGGCUUCAAGAAUGGAGCCGCAGACCUUUGCAGUGAGUGUUACAGCUCAUAAAGGUGUUGCAGACCCAAAGAGUGAGCAGCAGCAAGAUUUACUGUGAAGAGCGAAAGAACAAAGCUUCCACAGCAUGGAAGGGCACUUUCCGCUGCUGGCUCAGGUGGCCAGCUUUUAUUCCCUUAUUUGGCCCCACCCACAUCCUGCUGACUGGUCCAUUUUACAGAGCCCUGAUUGGUCCAUUUUACAGAGUGCUGAUUGGUGUGUUUACAAUCCUUUAUCUAGACACUGAGCACUGAUUGGUGCGUUUUUACAGAGGGCUGAUCAGUGCGUUUAUUUUCCUUUAGCUAGACACAGAGCGCUGAUUGGUGCGUUUUUACAGAGUGCUGAUUGGUGCAUUGACAAUCCUUUAGCUAGACACAGAGUGCUGAUUGGUGCAUUUUUACAGAGUGCUGAUUGGUGCAUUUACAAUCCUUGAGCUAGACACAGAGCGCUGAUUGCGUUUACAAUCCUCUAGCUAGAUAGAAAAGUUCUCCAAGUCCCCACUUGACCCAGGAAGUCCAGCUGGCUUCACUUCUCAAUAUGUAGAAAAUUGAAACUGGACCCCUUCCUUACACCACAUACAAAUAUUAAAUCAAAAGAGAUUAAAAACCUAAAUGUAAAACUCAAAACUAAGAAAACCUUGAAAGACAGCUGAGGCAAUACCAUUCGGGACAUAGGCCAUGAGCAAAGAUUUCAUGAGAAAAAUGCCAAAGGCAACUGCAAGAAAACAAAAAAUUGACAAAUGGGACCUAACUAAACUGAAGAACUCUGCACAGCAAAAG